GGGGACAUAAUUGCCAGAAAAGAGUAUAUGUCCAUUGAACCGAUUGCACUGCCUUCUGCAACAUGAUUUGCAUUUGGCUGUUGGGCGGUAUCUGUGUCAUUGUAUAUACAAAGGAUGUAUAACAUAGAUAAAAAAAAUUUGCAUUUGGCUGUUAGGCGGUAUGUCCGUCAUUGUAUAUGCAAAGGAUGCAUACCAUAGACAAAAAAAAUAGCUAGCUGAUCAAGAGAGAGAAAGAUAAUUUUUUGGAAUAUAAUUUGUAAAGACGAGGAGCAAGGGUUUGACGGUGGUUGC
This 291-nucleotide long non-coding RNA is filed under the name Nicotiana benthamiana. RNAcentral describes it as "long non-coding RNA (NBEN_LNC022296)". The record is from RNAcentral. Lineage: Eukaryota; Viridiplantae; Streptophyta; Magnoliopsida; Solanales; Solanaceae.